Molecule: small nucleolar RNA, 89 nt
Organism: Suncus etruscus (white-toothed pygmy shrew)
Lineage: Eukaryota; Metazoa; Chordata; Mammalia; Eulipotyphla; Soricidae
Product: small nucleolar RNA SNORA4
Exons: 1
Source: RefSeq, a predicted model, not a curated record
CUAUGUACCUUAAAUAUAGCUGUGAAGACCAUACUCCACAGUAAGCUAUGUCACUCAUCAUAGCUAACUACUAUUUUGUGGCCUACAUU